Molecule: ribosomal RNA, 644 nt
Filed under: uncultured Methanomicrobiaceae archaeon
Lineage: Archaea; Methanobacteriati; Methanobacteriota; Methanomicrobia; Methanomicrobiales; Methanomicrobiaceae
Description: SSU rRNA
Rfam family: Archaeal small subunit ribosomal RNA
Source: RNAcentral
GGACAACCUACCCUAUGGAGGGGGAUAACCCCGGGAAACUGGGGAUAAUACCCCAUAGACUAUGGAUGCUGGAAUGCUUUGUAGUUGAAAGGUCCGCCGCCAUAGGAUGGGUCUGCGGCCGAUUAGGUUGUUGUUGGGGUAACGGCCCAACAAGCCUGUAAUCGGUACGGGUUGUGGGAGCAAGAGCCCGGAGAUGGAUUCUGAGACACGAAUCCAGGCCCUACGGGGCGCAGCAGGCGCGAAAACUUUACAAUGCGGGAAACCGUGAUAAGGGAACUCCGAGUGCCCGUAAAAUCGGGCUGUCCAUCUGUGUAAAUAACAGGUGAAGAAAGGGCCGGGCAAGACCGGUGCCAGCCGCCGCGGUAAUACCGGCGGCUCGAGUGGUGGCCACUAUUACUGGGCUUAAAGCGUUCGUAGCUGGUCUGUUAAGUCUCUGGGGAAAUCUACUGGCUUAACCAAUAGGCGUCUCAGGGAUACUGGCAGACUAAGGACCGGGAGAGGUGAGAGGUACUCCAGGGGUAGGAGUGAAAUCCUGUAAUCCUUGGGGGACCACCUGUGGCGAAGGCGUCUCACCAGAACGGCUCCGACAGUGAGGGACGAAAGCUGGGGGAGCAAACCGGAUUAGAUACCCGGGUAGUCCCAGC